UACGGAGGAUGCAAGCGUUAUCCGGAAUUAUUGGGCGUAAAGCGUCUGUAGGUGGAUGUUCAAGUCUGCGGUCAAAGGUCGAGGCUCAACCUCGAAUCGGCCGUGGAAACUGAGAAGCUAGAGUGUGGUAGGGGCAGAGGGAAUUCCCAGUGUAGCGGUGAAAUGCGUAGAGAUUGGGAAGAACACCGGUGGCGAAAGCGCUCUGCUAGGCCAAGACUGACACUGAGGGACGAAAGCUAGGGGAGCGAAUGGG
Molecule: ribosomal RNA, 253 nt
Filed under: uncultured bacterium
Lineage: Bacteria
Description: partial 16S ribosomal RNA
Rfam family: Bacterial small subunit ribosomal RNA
Source: RNAcentral